This 530-nucleotide ribosomal RNA is filed under the name Campsicnemus sp. 4 KRG-2014. RNAcentral's name for it is "partial 16S ribosomal RNA". It matches the Rfam family "Bacterial large subunit ribosomal RNA", at positions 1812 to 2606 of the family's 2925-position model. The record is from RNAcentral. Lineage: Eukaryota; Metazoa; Arthropoda; Insecta; Diptera; Dolichopodidae.
AAAACAUGUCUUUUUGAAUUUAAAUAUAARGUCUAAUCUGCCCACUGAUAAAUUAUUUAAUGGCCGCAGUAUUUUAACUGUGCAAAGGUAGCAUAAUAAUUAGUCUUUUAAUUGAAGGCUUGUAUGAAUGAUUGGACGAGAUAUAAACUGUCUCAUAAAAAUUUUUUUUAGAAUUUAAUUUUUUAGUUAAAAAGCUAAAAUAAAUUUAAAAGACGAGAAGACCCCAUAGAUCUUUAUACUUUUUUUUAUUAUUAUUGUUUAGUUUUUUUAUAAACUAAUAAAUAAAAGUAUUUUGUUGGGGUGACAUUGAAAUUUAAUAAACUUUCAAAAUUUAAUAACAUUAAUUUAUGAAUUUAUGAUCCUUUAUUAUUGAUUAAAAAUUUAAGUUACCUUGGGGAUAACAGCGUAAUUAUUUUGGAAAGUUCAUAUUGAUAAAAUAGAUUGCGACCUCGAUGUUGGAUUAAGAUUAAUUUUGGGUGUAGCAGUUCAAAAUAUUAAGUCUGUUCGACUUUUAAUUUCUUACGUGAUCU